GUUCGGAUGGCGUAGUGGUCAGCGCAUCUGCCUAAUAAGCAGGAGGCCCAGGUUCGAAUUCCGGUCUGGCACA
Schistocerca serialis cubense is the source of this 73-nucleotide non-coding RNA. The record is from the annotation of a RefSeq genome assembly. Lineage: Eukaryota; Metazoa; Arthropoda; Insecta; Orthoptera; Acrididae.